Molecule: ribosomal RNA, 253 nt
Filed under: uncultured bacterium
Lineage: Bacteria
Description: partial 16S ribosomal RNA
Rfam family: Bacterial small subunit ribosomal RNA
Source: RNAcentral
UACGAAGGGGGCUAGCGUUGCUCAGAAUCACUGGGCGUAAAGCGCACGUAGGCGGAUUGCUAAGUCAGGGGUGAAAUCCUGGAGCUCAACUCCAGAACUGCCUUUGAUACUGGCGAUCUUGAGUCCGGGAGAGGUGAGUGGAACUGCGAGUGUAGAGGUGAAAUUCGUAGAUAUUCGCAAGAACACCAGUGGCGAAGGCGGCUCACUGGCCCGGUACUGACGCUGAGGUGCGAAAGCGUGGGGAGCAAACAGG